CAGUAGCCGCGGUAAUACGAAGGGGGCUAGCGUUGUUCGGAAUUACUGGGCGUAAAGGGCGCGUAGGCGGCCAUUCAAGUUAGAUGUGAAAGCCCUGGGCUCAACCUAGGAAUUGCAUUUGAUACUGUUUGGCUUGAGUUCGGGAGAGGUGAGUGGAAUUCCCAGUGUAGAGGUGAAAUUCGUAGAUAUUGGGAAGAACACCAGUGGCGAAGGCGGCUCACUGGACCGACACUGACGCUGAGGCGCGAAAGCGUGGGGAGCAAACAGGAUUAGAGACCCGUGUAGUCCCUGUCUCUUAUAC
This 301-nucleotide ribosomal RNA is filed under the name uncultured bacterium. RNAcentral describes it as "partial 16S ribosomal RNA". It matches the Rfam family "Bacterial small subunit ribosomal RNA", at positions 509 to 807 of the family's 1533-position model. The record is from RNAcentral.